UCCAGCCCCAACCCACCAUCACCAGCUCCACUCCCCUCUAGUUUCCCGCCGCCCGCCAAAGCCGCCUCCGGCAAGGACCCGGCCGGCGCCACCGCCUCUUCCCCAGCGGCCCGCCCACGGCCAGGCGCGCCCUGUCCUCCCUCCCCGCGCUCUGGCCGUGGCCCGCCGGUGCGCUCCUCCUCCCUUCAUCCGGGGCCCCGGGUCGUGCCUCCCGCCUCGCCUCGCCUCCUCACGCCUGAUUUGGAUUCACCCGUCCUCGAUUCGCCGCCCGUUUAGGUCUAGAACCGCGCCCGAUUUGGUUUCUGCUCGUGCUCGAUUCGUCAGUUUGGAGUCGCGCCUGCUUUGAUUUUGCUCGGCCUCGCUGUCGCGCGUUUGGGGUCGCCGUCCGUUUUGAUUUUGCUCGCCGCCUUCGUCCGUUUGGAGUCGCCGUCCGGUUCGAUUUUGCUCGUCGUCGCCGUCCGUGUGGAAUCGCGUCCGGUUCAAUUUUGCUCGCCCUCGCCGUCGUCCGUGUGGAGUCGCGUCCGAUUCGAUUUUUCUCGUCUCCGCCGUCGUCCGUGUAGAGUCGCGUCCGGUUCGAUUUCGCUCGUCCUCGCCGUUGUCCCGAUGCGCUCGCGUGUUCUUGGCCCGUCUCGCCUCGUCGGAGGUCUCCGUCUCGUUUGCGAACUAGCAAUUCUUCCUUUCUGCGUGCGAUUCUGUUAUCCGAGAGGCACUCCGGGUCCUGGGUUCCGUGUUCGCGUCGGUUGCAGGAACGAACGAGGUCUGCUUUCGAAAUUGGAUUACGGCCGGAGACGGGGAGCGAUGUUUGUUUAUCGUGCUAGUUCAGACCGGUUCCUAGGUUACGUCACCUACGUUGCUCUCUUGUGAUACUCUGUCAAUUCUUGGCCCUCUGUCAGUUCUUGUUGGCCCUCUGUCAAUUCUUGAGUUCCAGGGUCCGCUAAUUCUUGAGUUCUUGUUGUACCGGUUAGGCCUUAGGCGUGUGUACUCUCAUCUUAGAUGGGGUGGUUCCUUAGUUCUGAUGGUGUAUACUAUUUAUGUUCUUUCCAAUUUGUUUCUUUUUUUAUCAUGCUUUGCUUUGUUUUGCCUGUUGCUUGACUAAUUGAACACCUGCUGCUUGACUAAUUGAACACCUGCUGCUGCUACUGUUGGACAAAGGUUCCUUCUUUUCUUCCUGAUGUUGCUCUUUCCAUCGAAGUACUCAUAGGAGUUCUAGAUGAGCUGCUGCUAGUUAGUUCCCCUUAGACUACAUUCUAGAUUGCAUAGCAUAACUCAAGAAUUUUGUCAUUGCACACAUGUGCACAUAUAUAUCUGUUGUGUUCAUGACUCCAGAAUUUAUUUAUCCAUGAGAGCACGUUCAUCACAUGUUUAUGCGCAUGUUUAUUUAUCCAUGAAUUCUGUCGUGUCCCUUUCCUUUGGACAAAAAUUUCAACAAACCUAUAACGUGGACAUGUGCUGCUUGUUUUCUUGUGAUGAUGGUGAUCUAGUUGACUAGCCCAACUCUUAUGCUCUGGCAUUUGUUAAUCCUCAGUUACCGUGCUUGAAAACUUAUUGCUUGUCAUGUUAAAUUUUAUGGCAUCAACUCGGUAUUGUGAUAAGUGACCUAGUACUCCGUAUUUGUUUAGUGUAGACAGCUAACUUCUUUUUUCUUAUUUUUUUAGUGAUAUGCGUGUUCUGCUAUGUCUUAUGUUGAUAGUAUAUUCUUUUUUUUGUAUUACUCAUGUUCAGUCACUGGAAUAAUGCUUUUCUUGAUUUGCCUAGACUUUGUGACAAUUAAUUUAUAGUGCGAUCAUUGAGUUUCUGACAUCCUAUUGCAUAAAAUUCUGUUGUAAUGUUUGUUGGAUCAUUGAGUAGUUAAUAUUGAUUCUGAGUUUGUUGGAUCAUUGAAAUUCUACGUGCGCUUUUGUUAUCUGAGAGACACUCACGAUCCCGCAUUUCGUGUUUGCGGCAGAGCGAUGAACGAUUACGUUUUGCGUUCCUGCAUUUUGUGUCUGCCGUCUGGUUUUGAAUUUGGAUUAUGGAGACGGGGAGAGGCCAGAGUAAGGUCAGUUUCAGAUCGGUUCCGUCGCUGCGUUGUUCGUCGGUGAUUUCCAGACCUCAAACGCAUGCGUCCUUGUGAUACUCUAGUUUGGCUCGUGGGUCGUUACAGUUGUUCUUACGUUCCCAAUGUCUGUCUUCCCAUAUAUGGGGAUGCGUUCAGAGGUGCAAACCAUGUAGGCCGUGGUGUGUUUAUACUAUCUAUGGUGUGUUCUACACUAUCUGAUGUGGAACGUAGAAAUAUUGAUAUCACUUCUGUGCUAGUAUACUAGAUAUGGUGUGUUUUAUCCAAAUUAUUAACCACAUCUCUUAAAAUUUUCCUUGAGUUGGUACAUGUUUAUAUGCCAAGAGUGAUUGAUGUCUUGACGAAUAUAAUCAUUUAUGCUAACUUGGUAUUGGUAGUUCCUGAGGUAACACACCAGUACUUGUUUACUGCAGACAAUUGACUAUUCUUUUUUCUGAACUUUUUUGUGAUAUGUGUGUUAUGUGGAUAUCAUAUUCUAAUGCUUUUCGAAGUAUUUAAGGUACAGACUUGUGGAUCUGGACAUGUCACAUUUGCUCUUUAUUGGGUUGCUAAGGACACUGAACAGUUUGGCUGGGCCACUGCACGGCCUGGCUAAUCAGGAAGUGUUGCUAUGGAUCAAAUCUGUAAUGGAAUAGACUGGGAGUAACAUUACAACCGACCAAGUAAAGAAUAUGUAUGGAAGACACUGAAGAGUGGAAAGGUUGUAGUGAUUAGAGAGAAGCUUGCAGAACUGUAUGAAUCUGAACAACAAUGGUUGAGAGCAGCACAAAUGCUUAGUGGCAUUGACUUGGACUCAGGAAUCAGGAUGCUUGAUGACACAAACAAAUUAUCCAAGUGCGUCCAGAUUGCACGACUCUAUUUGGAGGAUGGUGAUGAUGCAGUGAAUGCUGAAGCCUUUAUCAACAAAGCCUCGUUUUUGGUUACAAACAGCAACCAGGAAAUUCUGAACUUACAAUACAAGGUCUGCUAUGCGAGAAUUUUAGAUCUAAAGCGUAAAUUUUUGGAAGAUGCACUUUGAUACUAUGGUAUCUCUCAAAUUGAGGAACACCAAAUUGGGGAUGAGCAAGUUGUGUUUGGAACUGAUAGUGCCUCCAUAUUUUGUUCUCAAAAAUCUUGAUGGAACAUGUUUCUUAGUGCUGCUGUAUAACAUGCACAAUGUUGGCUGGUGCUGGCCCACAACGCUCUCGUGUUCUUGCUACAUUGUACAAGGUUGUUCCUGGCUGUGGUCACGGAGUUCUACAUAAUACAGACCAAAAAUAUUCAUGCCAAAGGGAAUUCGCAUUGAAAUAUUUACCCGAGGACCCACUUCCCCAACUGAAUCCUUCAUCUAACUGCAUGGGUUCUCUUCGGUUCGACAGUCUCAGUGCAACAUAUUAUUAUUCCCUUUCAGGAACGAAGAUCUGAAUCACCCUCACCCCUCUAGAGAAAUCAGUUUACUCAUUCAAGUUCUGGAAUUUCUUUAUAGUUUUCUGAGUUACUUCGGUCUUGCAUGUAUUAGCUUUCUCUUUGUGCCCCUAUCUAUGCCUGUUUUGUGUGUGCAAGCGCUCCAUUCUGUGUGGGCGUGUGACUUGAUGGUGAAUAUGUGUGUGGCUUGACUCUCUGUGUGUGGCUUGAUUAUGUGUGUGGCUUGACUAUGUGUGUGGGGCUUGACUGUGUGUGUGAGAUUGUGUGUGGCUUGAUGGUGAAUAUGUGUGUGGCUUGACUGUGUGUGUGUGUGUGUGUGUGGCUUGACUGUGUGUGUGGGGCUUGACUGUGUGUGGCUUGACUGUGUGUGAAUAUUGCAUUUGCUUGAUGGUGUGGCUUGUAUAACUUGUGUUUUAUAUGUCACAAUUGAUUGUUGUUUAUUGAAUGUGAACAAACCUAACACUAUUCUUUUUUUCUGAACUUUUUUGUGAUUAUGUCUUAUGUGGAUAUCAUAUUCUUUUUUGUAUUACUGCUGUCCAGUCACUAGAAUAACACUUUUCUAAGUAUUUAUGGUACAGACAUGUGGAUCGGGACAUGUCACAUUGGCUCUUUGUUGUGUUGCUAAGGACACUGAUGGGUUGUGUUUGCAUACAACGCAGUCUGGACCAACAAAAUGGUCUCAUUGCCGCAAGCAAUGUCAAGCAAGGUGGAAAUAAAUGGGCAGAAAUAGCAAAAGUUCUUCCUAGAAGACAUUUGAACAUUGCAGGAAUCGAGUAUUUCUAUUUGUUCUCAGGUUCUUCUCACCUAUAGCUAGAGUCAAAGACGACAAACCAAGUGGAUUAUUGGACUUGCAAGAUAAACAGAAUCAUCGGUCAUCUGAAUCUUCUUUUCUAAUAUGACUAUUGAUGCUGCUCAUGAGGCUAGCCAUCGGCUUGGAAGUGAUGAGAGGCAAUCACUGUUGUCAACUUGAAACAUAUAAUCUUUUAGGUAUGAAUGGCUUACCUUAGCCAGAAUUUCUAUAAGAAUGUUGCUCAUGUUACAUGCCUUGCUUUCUCUAGUAAGUAGAACAAGAACACAUUUAACAGUUCUUUUCUGUCCAUAGGCCUACAAACUUGUG
This is a long non-coding RNA of Triticum aestivum (bread wheat), 4577 nucleotides long. RefSeq lists it as uncharacterized. The transcript has 12 exons. The record is from RefSeq and is a predicted model, not a curated record. Lineage: Eukaryota; Viridiplantae; Streptophyta; Magnoliopsida; Poales; Poaceae.